This is a long non-coding RNA of Lycium barbarum (goji berry), 976 nucleotides long. RefSeq lists it as uncharacterized. The record is from RefSeq and is a predicted model, not a curated record. NCBI's taxonomy places the organism in Eukaryota, Viridiplantae, Streptophyta, Magnoliopsida, Solanales, Solanaceae. The transcript is spliced from 2 exons.
AUUAAGAUAGGUAGAAUUACAAAUCUACACUGAAUACAAAUCUAUAAUGAAGGGUUUAAAGAAUUACCAACAGUAGCAGCCGAUGAAAUCGUGGAUCGAUUUCCCAAAUUAGACCAACCGUUGAAUCCCUCUUUCCAUUUCUCUUUCUUUCUUUCUUCCCUUCGCUGUCCCCCUUUUCUAAUUUUCUCCAUUUCUAACGGGGGGAUCACGUCCAUUUUUGGGAAGAAAUUUGUCAACAUCAACAACAAUAACAAGAAGAUAUUUGCCACAUUACGUUUAUGAAUCUUUGAGGUUAAAAAAAAAAAAAAAAAAAAAAAUCCCAAUCAACACUUUUUCUUGCAUAGUUGAACCUUCCACGAAGUUCCUAAACAGAUUCUUCAAUUAUUAACAUUAUUGGGAUAUUAAUUUGAAACAUUUUGGUUGUUUCUUCAAGAUCAGGAAAAAAAAUUAGCUGGGAGCAACGGUUUUAACUUAUUAGAUUUGUGAGAGCUUGGAUUUGGGGGAAAAUUGUCAACAUCAACAAGAAAAAGAAGGAGAUAUUUGCCACACUACAUUUGUGAAUCUGUGAGGUCAUAAAGGAAAGUUUUAAGAUGACAUCUUGCCUCCUAUAUCAUUUUUAAGCAACUGGCCGGGAUUUGUUAUGAAGGACAUUAAAGAUUACCUAUUUUCUGUCUGUUAAGAAGUGGACCUUGUAAGGGAGGCAAGGAUACUUGUUAGAGGCAUUAGUUGUCAUUGUUGAGCUGUAAUGCUGAUUUGUACCAUAGAGAUUGCACCUCAAGAAAACCAUUUAUUUAUGGGUUAAUACAAUUAUAAUAUUGUCUCUGAUAUUGUAUACUAAGAAGGCAGAAUUACUUGGGUAUCUAUAUAGAAUGUACUAUCAGACUUGAAAAGUUAUAAACAUCGUUAAAUACAGGUUGUCUUUAUUUUAGUCUGAAAUAUGUUGCUUUUGCAAUAAUGUGAAGAAUUGUCAAUCCUU